GUGUUCGCUUUGGCAGCACAUAUACUAAAAUUGGAACGAUACAGAGAAGAUUAGCAUGGCCCCUGCACAAGGAUGACACGCAAAUUCGUGAAGCAUUCCAUAUUUAA
This 107-nucleotide small nuclear RNA is filed under the name Mus spretus (western wild mouse). The record is from RNAcentral. Lineage: Eukaryota; Metazoa; Chordata; Mammalia; Rodentia; Muridae.